RNAcentral lists this ribosomal RNA (550 nucleotides) under uncultured bacterium. Its description in RNAcentral is "partial 16S rRNA". It matches the Rfam family "Bacterial small subunit ribosomal RNA", at positions 355 to 896 of the family's 1533-position model. The record is from RNAcentral.
UGGGGAAUUUUNNNNCAAUGGGCGCAAGCCUGAUCCAGCCAUGCCGCGUGUCUGAAGAAGGCCUUCGGGUUGUAAAGGACUUUUGUCAGAGAAGAAAAGGCUGUUGCUAAUAUCGACAGCUGAUGACGGUACCUGAAGAAUAAGCACCGGCUGACUACGUGCCAGCAGCCGCGGUAAUACGUAGGGUGCGAGCGUUAAUCGGAAUUACUGGGCGUAAAGCNNNNNCAGACGGUUACUUAAGCAGGAUGUGAAAUCCCCGGGCUCAACCUGGGAACUGCGUUCUGAACUGGGUGACUAGAGUGUGUCAGAGGNAGGUAGAAUUCCACGUGUAGCAGUGAAAUGCGUAGAGAUGUGGAGGAAUACCGAUGGCGAAGGCAGCCUCCUGGGAUAACACUGACGUUCAUGCUCGAAAGCNNGGGUAGCAAACAGGAUUAGAUACCCUGGUAGUCCACGCCCUAAACGAUGUCAAUUAGCUGUUGGGCAACUUGAUUGCUUAGUAGCGUAGCUAACGCGUGAAAUUGACCGCCUGGGGAGUACGGUCGCAAGAUUA